CGUUUGCACCUUAGCCCAGCAUCAGCACCUUCCCGCCAGAGGCCUCCCCCUUUAUGCUCUGGCCAGGAGAACCUGACCACUGCCCAUCCGGGAACACCCCACUCCCCGCCAUGCCCUGUGAGCACAUGUUCUUGUCUGGUUUGGAAGAGGAAAGCCAGAGCCCCACUCACGGGUUCCAUCCCAGGUCGGCUGGGUUGAUGUAGAGGAUGCCGGCUCUGGAGACGGUGGCUGGGGUGGCCGUCCUCAGGUGGCUGAUUUCGAACACCAGCCUCAUGGUGCGGUUCAGUGGGAUCCGCUCAUUGCUGGCCAGGGCCUUUACCCUGAACCCAUCCUGCUGCUAAAUGUAAGGUGAGGUGCAUGCAGAACCACAGCACAUGUGACAAAGUCC
Rhinopithecus roxellana (golden snub-nosed monkey) is the source of this 388-nucleotide long non-coding RNA. RefSeq lists it as uncharacterized. The transcript is spliced from 3 exons. NCBI's taxonomy places the organism in Eukaryota, Metazoa, Chordata, Mammalia, Primates, Cercopithecidae. The record is from RefSeq and is a predicted model, not a curated record.